GCGCCUGUAGCUCAAUGGAUAGAGCAUUGGAUUUCUAAUCCAAGGGUUGAGGGUUCGAAUCCCCCCAGGCGCACCA
Molecule: transfer RNA, 76 nt
Filed under: Petrotoga sibirica DSM 13575
Lineage: Bacteria; Thermotogati; Thermotogota; Thermotogae; Petrotogales; Petrotogaceae
Also listed under: 1 other name
Description: tRNA-Arg
Rfam family: tRNA
About the family: Transfer RNA (tRNA) molecules are approximately 80 nucleotides in length.
Source: RNAcentral